Molecule: ribosomal RNA, 930 nt
Filed under: Triticum aestivum (bread wheat)
Lineage: Eukaryota; Viridiplantae; Streptophyta; Magnoliopsida; Poales; Poaceae
Description: partial small subunit ribosomal RNA
Source: RNAcentral
AUGGCAGAUGUGAAUUAUUUAAAAUCACGUGCAUAUCCUCAGCCACCACCACUUGUGCUCGAAUGCGAUGGGAGAUUGUUUAAUACAUUUGAAGAGGAAUUUGGUCAAUUAUAUGGUUAUAAGGACUACAAUUGCAAUCUUGAUCAUCGUAGCUUUGGGGAGCAGGUCUGGGCUAAACUUCCAAAGAAAGUUGUUACAAAUAUUGGCCGGCGUGUUGUCUCACUCUCUUCAUACGAUGGAGAUGUGAGAUAUUUUUCAUGUACAGGCCUACUUAUAAAGUGGCAUAAAAAUGGUAAGCCUGUUAUCCUUACUUCGGCCAGUUUGGUUAGAAGUCGGGUUGAUGAAGACAAGAUUGAUGAGAAACUGAAGAUUAAAGUACUUCUCCCACCGAAACAGGUCGUUCAUGGGACACUGGAACUGUACCAUUCAGAUUAUAACAUUGCUGUCAUCAGUCUUCAGAAGCCUCUAUAUGGUAUUCGUCCGGAGAAUAUUUUCUGCACGGUGGAACGAACACGAAGAGUAGUUGCUAUAGGGCGCGAGGCUGAGGAUGGAUUAUUGAUGGGGACAAUUGGUAAAUUGGUCAAGAAGCGUCCGAAUGAGAAACUUAACUGCGAAGACCUUAAGCUCUCUACAUGUAAAAUCAAGAAGGUUGGGAUUGGAGGGCCCCUUGUUAAUUUUGAUAAUGGGUAUUUUGUUGGCAUGAACUUCUAUGGUGAAACUGGUGUAACUCCUUACCUGCCGAGGGCAAUCAUCGUGGAAGUUUUAAGCGGGAUUGAUCUCCCAUCUCAAAGAGGAAUGGACCAUGCCACUGACAUAAUGGGUGCCGCAACAGUUAAGAAAAACAGGUGGCCGGUGCCUAAGCCAUAUUGGUACCAUCCCCUAUUCGAUGAUGAUGCUCCGUUGCAUUUUUAUGGAAGGCAACUCCAGUAG